Molecule: ribosomal RNA, 255 nt
Filed under: uncultured bacterium
Lineage: Bacteria
Description: partial 16S ribosomal RNA
Rfam family: Bacterial small subunit ribosomal RNA
Source: RNAcentral
UACAGAGGGGGCAAGCGUUGUUCGGAAUUACUGGGCGUAAAGGGCGCGUAGGCGGCCGCCUAAGUCAGACGUGAAAUCCCUCGGCUCAACCGGGGAACUGCGUCUGAUACUGGGUGGCUUGAAUCCGGGAGAGGGAUGCGGAAUUCCGAGGUGUAGCGGUGAAAUGCGUAGAUAUCUGGAGGAACACCGGUGGCGAAGGCGGCAUCCUGGACCGAGUAUUGACGCUGAGGAGCGAAAGCCAGGGGAGCAAACGGG